This 71-nucleotide transfer RNA is filed under the name Uvidicolus sphyrurus. RNAcentral's name for it is "tRNA-Ala". It matches the Rfam family "tRNA". From Rfam's summary of the family: Transfer RNA (tRNA) molecules are approximately 80 nucleotides in length. Their secondary structure includes four short double-helical elements and three loops (D, anti-codon, and T loops). Lineage: Eukaryota; Metazoa; Chordata; Lepidosauria; Squamata; Carphodactylidae. The record is from RNAcentral.
GGGAGGUUGUAGCUUAAUUAAAGUGUCUGAAUAGCAUUCAGGAGAUGUGUGUUAGAGUUAUACCAGCCUUC